GGUUAAGCGACUAAGCGUACACGGUGGAUGCCCUGGCAGUCAGAGGCGAUGAAGGACGUGCUAAUCUGCGAUAAGCGUCGGUAAGGUGAUAUGAACCGUUAUAACCGGCGAUUUCCGAAUGGGGAAACCCAGUGUGUUUCGACACACUAUCAUUAACUGAAUCCAUAGGUUAAUGAGGCGAACCGGGGGAACUGAAACAUCUAAGUACCCCGAGGAAAAGAAAUCAACCGAGAUUCCCCCAGUAGCGGCGAGCGAACGGGGAGCAGCCCAGAGCCUGAAUCAGUGUGUGUGUUAGUGGAAGCGUCUGGAAAGGCGCGCGAUACAGGGUGACAGCCCCGUACACAAAAAUGCACAUGCUGUGAGCUCGAUGAGUAGGGCGGGACACGUGGUAUCCUGUCUGAAUAUGGGGGGACCAUCCUCCAAGGCUAAAUACUCCUGACUGACCGAUAGUGAACCAGUACCGUGAGGGAAAGGCGAAAAGAACCCCGGCGAGGGGAGUGAAAAAGAACCUGAAACCGUGUACGUACAAGCAGUGGGAGCACGCUUCGGCGUGUGACUGCGUACCUUUUGUAUAAUGGGUCAGCGACUUAUAUUCUGUAGCAAGGUUAACCGAAUAGGGGAGCCGAAGGGAAACCGAGUCUUAACUGGGCGUUAAGUUGCAGGGUAUAGACCCGAAACCCGGUGAUCUAGCCAUGGGCAGGUUGAAGGUUGGGUAACACUAACUGGAGGACCGAACCGACUAAUGUUGAAAAAUUAGCGGAUGACUUGUGGCUGGGGGUGAAAGGCCAAUCAAACCGGGAGAUAGCUGGUUCUCCCCGAAAGCUAUUUAGGUAGCGCCUCGUGAAUUCAUCUCCGGGGGUAGAGCACUGUUUCGGCAAGGGGGUCAUCCCGACUUACCAACCCGAUGCAAACUGCGAAUACCGGAGAAUGUUAUCACGGGAGACACACGGCGGGUGCUAACGUCCGUCGUGAAGAGGGAAACAACCCAGACCGCCAGCUAAGGUCCCAAAGUCAUGGUUAAGUGGGAAACGAUGUGGGAAGGCCCAGACAGCCAGGAUGUUGGCUUAGAAGCAGCCAUCAUUUAAAGAAAGCGUAAUAGCUCACUGGUCGAGUCGGCCUGCGCGGAAGAUGUAACGGGGCUAAACCAUGCACCGAAGCUGCGGCAGCGACGCUUAUGCGUUGUUGGGUAGGGGAGCGUUCUGUAAGCCUGUGAAGGUGUGCUGUGAGGCAUGCUGGAGGUAUCAGAAGUGCGAAUGCUGACAUAAGUAACGAUAAAGCGGGUGAAAAGCCCGCUCGCCGGAAGACCAAGGGUUCCUGUCCAACGUUAAUCGGGGCAGGGUGAGUCGACCCCUAAGGCGAGGCCGAAAGGCGUAGUCGAUGGGAAACAGGUUAAUAUUCCUGUACUUGGUGUUACUGCGAAGGGGGGACGGAGAAGGCUAUGUUGGCCGGGCGACGGUUGUCCCGGUUUAAGCGUGUAGGCUGGUUUUCCAGGCAAAUCCGGAAAAUCAAGGCUGAGGCGUGAUGACGAGGCACUACGGUGCUGAAGCAACAAAUGCCCUGCUUCCAGGAAAAGCCUCUAAGCAUCAGGUAACAUCAAAUCGUACCCCAAACCGACACAGGUGGUCAGGUAGAGAAUACCAAGGCGCUUGAGAGAACUCGGGUGAAGGAACUAGGCAAAAUGGUGCCGUAACUUCGGGAGAAGGCACGCUGAUAUGUAGGUGAAGUCCCUCGCGGAUGGAGCUGAAAUCAGUCGAAGAUACCAGCUGGCUGCAACUGUUUAUUAAAAACACAGCACUGUGCAAACACGAAAGUGGACGUAUACGGUGUGACGCCUGCCCGGUGCCGGAAGGUUAAUUGAUGGGGUUAGCCGCAAGGCGAAGCUCUUGAUCGAAGCCCCGGUAAACGGCGGCCGUAACUAUAACGGUCCUAAGGUAGCGAAAUUCCUUGUCGGGUAAGUUCCGACCUGCACGAAUGGCGUAAUGAUGGCCAGGCUGUCUCCACCCGAGACUCAGUGAAAUUGAACUCGCUGUGAAGAUGCAGUGUACCCGCGGCAAGACGGAAAGACCCCGUGAACCUUUACUAUAGCUUGACACUGAACAUUGAGCCUUGAUGUGUAGGAUAGGUGGGAGGCUUAGAAGUGUGGACGCCAGUCUGCAUGGAGCCGACCUUGAAAUACCACCCUUUAAUGUUUGAUGUUCUAACGUUGACCCGUAAUCCGGGUUGCGGACAGUGUCUGGUGGGUAGUUUGACUGGGGCGGUCUCCUCCUAAAGAGUAACGGAGGAGCACGAAGGUUGGCUAAUCCUGGUCGGACAUCAGGAGGUUAGUGCAAUGGCAUAAGCCAGCUUGACUGCGAGCGUGACGGCGCGAGCAGGUGCGAAAGCAGGUCAUAGUGAUCCGGUGGUUCUGAAUGGAAGGGCCAUCGCUCAACGGAUAAAAGGUACUCCGGGGAUAACAGGCUGAUACCGCCCAAGAGUUCAUAUCGACGGCGGUGUUUGGCACCUCGAUGUCGGCUCAUCACAUCCUGGGGCUGAAGUAGGUCCCAAGGGUAUGGCUGUUCGCCAUUUAAAGUGGUACGCGAGCUGGGUUUAGAACGUCGUGAGACAGUUCGGUCCCUAUCUGCCGUGGGCGCUGGAGAACUGAGGGGGGCUGCUCCUAGUACGAGAGGACCGGAGUGGACGCAUCACUGGUGUUCGGGUUGUCAUGCCAAUGGCACUGCCCGGUAGCUAAAUGCGGAAGAGAUAAGUGCUGAAAGCAUCUAAGCACGAAACUUGCCCCGAGAUGAGUUCUCCCUGACUCCUUGAGAGUCCUGAAGGAACGUUGAAGACGACGACGUUGAUAGGCCGGGUGUGUAAGCGCAGCGAUGCGUUGAGCUAACCGGUACUAAUGAACCGUGAGGCUUAACCUU
RNAcentral lists this ribosomal RNA (2906 nucleotides) under Escherichia coli. RNAcentral describes it as "23S ribosomal RNA". It matches the Rfam family "Bacterial large subunit ribosomal RNA". Lineage: Bacteria; Pseudomonadati; Pseudomonadota; Gammaproteobacteria; Enterobacterales; Enterobacteriaceae. The record is from RNAcentral.